CGGUUUUUAAUUAAUUUCUUUUGUUAAGAAAUAUUUCCUUAACUAACCUCACCAAUAGUGACGAAAAUAAUAUUCUUCAUUUUCACACUCACAAGUCACAAGUCACAAGCCUUAAUGGCCAAGCAAGAAUUAGAAUUAGAAUUCGAACGCGUUACUUUGCUUCCAAAGCUGGUUUCGAACUUUGAAUUCUAUUUCUACUGUUGAAUAAGGAACACGAGCACCAAACCUCACAGCUAGAGUAUUGGGUGAUGAUUUCGGAUUUUGUUCUGGAAGGAUCCAUGUAUAAUAAUAAUAAUAUAUUUGCAUUAAUUGACGAGUUAGAAAAUGGAGAUUACAAAAUUCCAAGUACUUAAGGAGCAAUAAAUUAAUAAUAAUUACAUGAUGAAAUAGUGAUAGAUGAGAGAUUGUGUAUCUAGUCUCAGCUAGGAUGCAUGAUGGAUGAGAUCAGAAGUUGCAGCCGCAGCAGAGGUAGAAGAAGCAGAGGGUGAGAACGAGGAGUACAGCCUCAAAUGCAGAGACGAGCCUGAAAACGACGCCGUCCACGAAGGAGACGCGGAUUGUGGAGAGGCUCUUCCACUUGAAAGCGGAUGAGAAGAGAUACUUGAGCCUGAGAUUCCACGAGGAAGAAAGCCUUUUCUUGUUCCUGAAGAACCAUGACGACGACGACGACGAUCCCUUCUUGCUGCUAAUUCCCACCACCAUCUUAGUUACGUUUCUUUCUUUGAUUUGUGUACGACAGAGAGGUUGUUAUUAUAUAUAUUGAAAGGAAAGCUAAGGAACCUUCCUGACCACUUUCUUUUUUAUAGUUGGGUUUUGGUGAGAGAGAGAGAAAGAGAGAGGAAGCGGAGGUUGUAACUACUUUGUAUAAAGCUAAUAAGGAAUGUAUCGUGUGAGAGUGGGAGGAGAAGUGGAAGGAAUAAAUGUAAAAAACUGCUCCGCGUUUUGAUGGAGUCAAU
RNAcentral lists this long non-coding RNA (956 nucleotides) under Arachis ipaensis. RNAcentral's name for it is "long non-coding RNA (AIPA_LNC000794)". Lineage: Eukaryota; Viridiplantae; Streptophyta; Magnoliopsida; Fabales; Fabaceae. The record is from RNAcentral.